Molecule: ribosomal RNA, 300 nt
Filed under: uncultured prokaryote
Description: partial 16S ribosomal RNA
Source: RNAcentral
CCCUACGGGGUGCAGCAGUAAAAAAGAAUUGGAACGCAAUCAUAAAGACGAUACCCAACGCAUGGAAUUGCAAGACUUCGUAGAUGACGGCAUCGCCGCUCGCGAACACCUGAUCAAAGCCAACACCCGCCUGGCGGUCAGUGUUGCCAAACGCUACAUGGGCCGCGGCGUUCCCUGUUUGGAUCUGAUCCAGGAAGGCAACCUGGGGUUGAUGAAGGCGGUGGAGAAGUUCGAUUACCACCGCGGAUUCCGCUUCUCCACUUAUGCCACCUGGUGGAUCCGCCAGACCAUCACCCGCUC